Molecule: ribosomal RNA, 253 nt
Filed under: uncultured bacterium
Lineage: Bacteria
Description: partial 16S ribosomal RNA
Rfam family: Bacterial small subunit ribosomal RNA
Source: RNAcentral
UACGGAGGGUGCAAGCGUUAUCCGGAUUCACUGGGUUUAAAGGGUGCGUAGGUGGAUUUAUAAGUCAGUGGUGAAAGCCCCGAGCUCAACUUGGGAAUUGCCAUUGAUACUGUAGAUCUUGAGUGCGGUUGAGGUAGGCGGAAUAUAUCAUGUAGCGGUGAAAUGCAUAGAUAUGACUUAGAACACCGAUUGCGAAGGCAGCUAACUAAACAGAUAUUGACGCUGAGGCACGAAAGCGUGGGGAUCAAACAGG